GGAAGGGCGCUGCUCUGCCUGAAAGCGAGCCGGUCCCGGGCUCCAGCUGCAGCUGGGUCACCAUGAAAAAAACCCAGGGGGAUCUGGUUCUAAGAGGGCGGGAAAAUCCUAAUAUUUGAAACCAUCAGCAAGAAAAAAGUCUUCUCCGGGUUCUUUUGAAUAUCCAGACGCCGUGGGACUGGGUUACCUGGAGCCAGAGGGAAGGGGGGCCCAAGGGGCAGUGGUGGCGUGUCGGCUGCCAGCUUCGUCGAGGUCACUACAACUUAAAUCACCAGAGGAACAGGGGCUUUUGCUUGGGGAUGGGGGCUGCUCAGCGGGCUACAGCAGUGCCUAGCACCCAAUGAACGUGAUUCUUCAGCUACACGUGCAGCUUAGAGUACAGAUGCUCUCAGAGUCCGGGGGAUCCAGUUCCUGGGCUGGCCAAGCCAGAAUAGAAACCCCGGGUAUGACGGACAGGCUCCUUGGCUUCUCCCCACAGCCCAGGCCCUGAGACCCCCCAGGCCUGGGCAGAGUGCCACCUGGAGGAUCUCCACUGCAGAGAGGAGUCCUCGUGCAGAGCUGACCCUGGAACAUGCCACCAGUUCAGGAUCCACAGAGUGACAGGGGCUGCUACCAAGUCAUGUUAUGGAUUAAAGUUUUUUUAAGUCUUGCCUUAACAAAAUUUCCUUUUUACCAAAAACUUAGGCAAACUUCCUCAAAGCCCCCUGUAUAGCUCUGGUUAUUUGAGAGGAGUGUCUGGCCAGUGGGUUUCAGCCCCAGGAGGUUCACUGUCAAAUCAGUGGACCAAAGAAA
Molecule: long non-coding RNA, 792 nt
Organism: Manis javanica (Malayan pangolin)
Lineage: Eukaryota; Metazoa; Chordata; Mammalia; Pholidota; Manidae
Source: RefSeq, a predicted model, not a curated record